GCCUGGGUGGCUUAGUCGGUUAAGCAUCUGACUUCAGUUCAGGUCAUGAUCUCACCAUUCGUGGGUUCGAGCCCCACACUGGGCU
Molecule: transfer RNA, 85 nt
Filed under: Felis catus (domestic cat)
Lineage: Eukaryota; Metazoa; Chordata; Mammalia; Carnivora; Felidae
Also listed under: 1 other name
Rfam family: tRNA
About the family: Transfer RNA (tRNA) molecules are approximately 80 nucleotides in length. Their secondary structure includes four short double-helical elements and three loops (D, anti-codon, and T loops). Further hydrogen bonds mediate the characteristic L-shaped molecular structure. tRNAs have two regions of fundamental functional importance: the anti-codon, which is responsible for specific mRNA codon recognition, and the 3' end, to which the tRNAs corresponding amino acid is attached (by aminoacyl-tRNA synthetases). tRNAs cope with the degeneracy of the genetic code in two manners: having more than one tRNA (with a specific anti-codon) for a particular amino acid; and 'wobble' base-pairing, i.e. permitting non-standard base-pairing at the 3rd anti-codon position.
Source: Rfam by way of RNAcentral